CCUAGGGGAGGCAGCAGUGGGGAAUAUUGGACAAUGGGCGAAAGCCUGAUCCAGCCAUGCCGCGUGUGUGAAGAAGGCCUUCGGGUUGUAAAGCACUUUCAGUGGGGAAGAAAGCCUUGGGGCUAAUACCCUCGAGGAAGGACAUCACCCACAGAAGAAGCACCGGCUAACUCCGUGCCAGCAGCCGCGGUAAUACGGAGGGUGCGAGCGUUAAUCGGAAUUACUGGGCGUAAAGCGCGCGUAGGCGGUCUGAUAAGCCGGUUGUGAAAGCCCCGGGCUCAACCUGGGAACGGCAUCCGGAACUGUCAGGCUAGAGUGCAGGAGAGGAAGGUAGAAUUCCCGGUGUAGCGGUGAAAUGCGUAGAGAUCGGGAGGAAUACCAGUGGCGAAGGCGGCCUUCUGGACUGACACUGACGCUGAGGUGCGAAAGCGUGGGUAGCAAACAGGAUUAGAUACCCCGGUAGUC
This 465-nucleotide ribosomal RNA is filed under the name Vreelandella stevensii. Its description in RNAcentral is "partial 16S ribosomal RNA". It matches the Rfam family "Bacterial small subunit ribosomal RNA", at positions 338 to 795 of the family's 1533-position model. The record is from RNAcentral. Lineage: Bacteria; Pseudomonadati; Pseudomonadota; Gammaproteobacteria; Oceanospirillales; Halomonadaceae.